GACAUUCACUACAUCGAGAACCCAGCUGCAGCAUAGGCCUGUUGAAUAUUCCAUAUGUCUCCCGGCAGACGAGGUCCUUGCAACACCACCCAACUGCAGGUGGAAAACCUGAGCAAGGUUCCGCCCACCAACCGGGUUGCAGAGAUCCCCAAACCAACAUCUUGCUGGGUUUAGCACAGGCAAGCAGAUCUCCUGUUGUACGUGGUUUGCCGGAGGGGAAGGAUUAUGAAAGAAUUAGCUUCUAUCUUCAGAUCCAGAACUGUAUCCAGGCUGGUAUUGAACAAAAACAGACCGUGAGUUUAUCGUCCUGCCUCUGCCUUCCCACUGCUGGGAUUCCAUGUGUUGAGCAUGCCCGCUGUUAAUAGGUGCUGGGGAUGGAACUCAGGACAGACGAAGCAAGCACUCUACAGUGUCUGUACCUUGGUACCAGUGGAAACCAGAGAGAGAGCUGGAGUCACAGUUGUCAGCCAGCAUGUCGGGGCUGGGAAUGCCACCUGUGUCUCCUGCCAGUGUAGCCAUUGCUACAGCCCCUCUUUAAACAUAACAUGGUGGAGAACGUGGAUUGACUUUCUGAUGUAGCGGCUUUGAAUGUCAGGAAUAAAUUUCUUGGCCAUCUU
This 617-nucleotide long non-coding RNA is filed under the name Mus spretus (western wild mouse). RNAcentral's name for it is "lncRNA (ENSMSPG00010043332.1)". The record is from RNAcentral. Lineage: Eukaryota; Metazoa; Chordata; Mammalia; Rodentia; Muridae.